UACGAAGGGGGCUAGCGUUGUUCGGAAUUACUGGGCGUAAAGCGUGCGCAGGCGGCUUCUCAAGUCAGGGGUGAAAGCCCAGAGCUCGACUCUGGAAUUGCCUUUGAGACUGAGUGGCUUGAGUACGGGAGAGGUGAGUGGAAUUCCCAGUGUAGAGGUGAAAUUCGUAGAUAUUGGGAAGAACACCGGUGGCGAAGGCGGCUCACUGGCCCGUAACUGACGCUCAUGCACGACAGCGUGGGGAUCAAACAGG
Molecule: ribosomal RNA, 253 nt
Filed under: uncultured bacterium
Lineage: Bacteria
Description: partial 16S ribosomal RNA
Rfam family: Bacterial small subunit ribosomal RNA
Source: RNAcentral